GAAGAAACUCUCUCGCUCCCUCUCUCUAACCCACUAGAUAGAGACAAUACGAAAAGCAAACAAGAUGGCUCCUAGGGCACAUGAUGGGUCAGCGAAAAGAGAAGAAGAGGAUAAGCCUAUGGAAACCAUGACAAAUAUUCCAACCAAGAAAGAGGUCAAUAAGGGAGCAUGGACGCCAGAAGAAGAUAGAAAAUUAGCCGAGGUUAUUGCAAUC
RNAcentral lists this unclassified non-coding RNA (214 nucleotides) under Hevea brasiliensis (rubber tree). Lineage: Eukaryota; Viridiplantae; Streptophyta; Magnoliopsida; Malpighiales; Euphorbiaceae. The record is from RNAcentral.